UAUGACUCCAGCUGACCACACUCUUCUCAUUUUCCUGGGUUUCCUCGUGUUACGUUUCUUUUGUAAGAGUCUGCCCCUCCUCGCCCCUCGACGCCGGCAGAGGAGGCGGAGCGGCGGCGGGUGGAACCGCGCAGGUCCCGGGGGCGGUGCCGCCAGUUCCUCCCUGCGCCCCCGGAGCGGCGGAGCACCGGAGCGACGGCGGCUUCUCGGAGGGAGCCAUGGCAAGGCGAGUCCCCUCUGAUCUCUCUCUCCGAGUCUCACCUGCUCAGCACCGGGAAGAAGAGGACUCCCUUCUUACCUGGCAGGACGUGGAUGUGCUGGUGCCCAUCCAUGUGAGGAGGACAUACUCCUGCUUCCAAGUGCCUGCCCACACUGGAGCUGAAGCAUUAGUUGGGUUUUACCUUCUAAAUGGAAGUAAUACUUCCUAAUAAAGGAUUUUCUGGGCUAGUCCCUAAGAAUGA
Tyto alba (common barn owl) is the source of this 461-nucleotide long non-coding RNA. RefSeq lists it as uncharacterized. The record is from RefSeq and is a predicted model, not a curated record. Lineage: Eukaryota; Metazoa; Chordata; Aves; Strigiformes; Tytonidae. The transcript is spliced from 3 exons.